GAACCCGGCGGAGCCUCUUUGCGAGGCCGGUGCCGCGGUAGCGGCAGCGCGCUGGGACCUGCGGAAAUACUCCUUGCUCAUCGUGAUCGGCGAUAUCGGUACAGAGAGUCAGCUGAGGGCCGUGCGGGCCCACCUUGAACAAGGUGAGCCGCUCUCCUGGCUUUUACGCAGUACUCCAUCCAUGCCUCUCCGCCAUCUGCAUUCAUCUCCCAGUGCACAUUUCUGUCUCCUCUAUCUCUAUGUGCACUUCCCGAAACCUGCGACCCUGUCACCUGCAUCUUCCAUGAAUGUGCCUCUGUCCUCUCGAGCUGCCAACACCUUGCUUGCCCAUCCUUUCUGCAUACCCCAUUCUGUUCCGCAGUGUCCCGGAGCAGGAGCAGGAGAAGCUCCGUGGAGACCCUGGGGUCCCUCUGGUCACACCCCUUUCCCGAAGCCACUGGACCAUAUAUCCGAAAGUCCUCAUCAGACCCUGAAAAGUCCAUGUCCCUACCUUACAAUUUCUUCUUUAGGGGAGGUUUUUGAACGCGAGGUACACAUCUCAAAUCUCUGAAUGCUGGCAGCCAAGUUUAGAGAGUGACCUUCGUGGCUCUGCAGCUCACCUCCCUCAGCCGUGCCUGUGGCGCAGUGCUGCGGAGCCACCUGCGGGUGGAAGCAGGGGAUGGAGGCAAGGGAGGGGGCAUAGGAGAAUCUAGAAUCUGAUUUAGCAAGAGGGAUCAUUAUGGAAACCUACAGUAUAUGGAAAUAGACCCUUGCGUGUCACUUCUACCGUAACUGUUUUGCCUUGAAAAACAAAAACUCCAAGCUCAUUUAUUAGUAAGCCCAUUCUAAACUCUGCUCUUUGCCCUCUGGAAAGGGGAAAAAGCAGGUACUAGCUAUCCUUCUUGGAGGCAUCACCUCCCAUUUCUUUCCUCUCCCAGGAGCUUGGCAAUGCUUUCUGUGGGUGACUUUGACUAGAACCCUCUUAUUUUUUUUCCCCCUUUUCUUUUACAGGGAUUCUCUCCUGGAAUAUUGACUUAUCAUCCUUUGACUUGAACCAACAGUUGAGACUCUUCAUUACCCGGCACCUAGCUCACUUCUCCUCAGAGGUCAAAGGUUAGGACUAGGGUUAUUUGUCUCAGUCCUUUGGGUCCAGUAUCCAGGCCAGAACUGGCCUUAUGGGAGGAUUGGGUAGGUAAAAAGGGAGGGACUUUUGAUGGCUCCACAGCUAUUUACACAUGCUGUGGAUAAUGCCCAGUACACACUGCAACCACUCAAUAUGAUGGUAGAGCAUAAUUUUGUCAGGAAAAACGUUGUUGUACACAGCAGCUGACAAGCACUAAGAAAGUGAUCAAACCACUCGCAGGUAAAAGCUUUUCCUCUGUGUUCCCUUUCUGCAUACCCCAGCUUUCUUGCUUCUCUUUAUAAACAUCCCAGAAUGCCUCAUUCACCUCCCCAGACCCUUAUUUCUCACAGCCCACCUUCCAGGAUUCUUUUCUGUUUCCUCCUGGCUUAGCCAGCAGAUCUUCAGAGCAGAACAGAAGGCUGCCACCUAGGGCUGAUCAGAUCAGCACCCAGGGAGCCAGGCUGGGACAAAGGUCUCCUCGAUUUGUGAGGCUUGAUUCUGAGAUCAGGUCUGAUGGGUGGGAGAACUCGUCUAGAAAUGUGCGAUAAAAGCUUAAUUAGCAUUCUACUGCAGGUGUCUACGGAGAGAGUUGGGAAAGUCCUACGUCCCUUGAUAAAGGUGUUGGGCAUCUGGCCAUAUUAUUGUAAAUGUUGACACACCAAUCAAUAUAACUUUCUUUUAAAAAACAACAAACAAAAAAACCAGGAUCUCACUCUAUAGUCCACAUGUAGUCUAGGAUGCAAUCAAACUUGUUAUCCUCCUGCCUCUACCUCCUGAGUACUAGAGUUGUAGGCAUGUACCACCGUACCUGCUUCCGUAUAGUUUUAUAGGAUGUGACUUCCAUGUACUCAAUAGUCAUUGCUACCAAAUAACAGACUUCACAUGUUACUAACUCUCAACAGUCCAGUACAGCAGAUAGACUUUCUGCUCCGCCAGUCUGGCCAGUUCCUCAUCAAUGAGUUCUCAUGAGCUGCUGUGGAGAGGCUGGAGAAAGUGAGGUUGACAUGGCUAAAGCUCUAUUACACUUAGAGUAUGUGCAGCAGCUUAAAUACCAUGACGCUGGCAUCUUCCUGAUGGGACUGGCUUCCUGGAAAACGAGCCAUUUGCUCCUUGGAGAUUACCUUCUUUUGACAAUGACCCAUGUCAUGACAUCCUCCACUAUUCCCUAUGACCAAAAGACAGUUUUGCCACUUGACACUCCUAGAAACAAGGCUGAAUAAAGGGAUGGCUGGGGGUUCAACUGAUUACUGAGGAUUGAGUGUUAUCUAGGGUCCUACUAGGAAUUCAAACCAGAUUCUCUAACCUUGUCCUUCUGGCCAUAGAGACUUUGAGUACUGUAAGAAAUGAACAAUAUCUGAGGCAAAGUCCCUAGCUGUUCUUCCAGUUGAGACUAAGGAAAUGCUUGGGAAGAGGUUUGCAGGGUGUCAUAUUCUCAGAAACAGGCACUGGAAUAGAAACACCCACUGAUGUCCUCAAUCAGUUUUGCUAUGGUGUCCUCAAGGGGCUUGAAGCCAUCCACUCGAGAUGCUAACGUACUUUUAGCAUACAGAAUUUGUUUUAGGUUUAGACAUUGUCAUGGUGGCCUCUGUCCCUGAAGAACAGUGGAGAAUUUCCUGGGGGCAGGGGGGCACAAAGCUUAAGGCAGCCAUAGCUCCACCCCUGCUAGUUUCUCUUUCAGCUGUCUCUGAACACAGCCUGCCCAAAGCAGCUGCAGGCACUGCCUUCUCCUUCCAGCCUCCUUUGAGUGGAUAGGUUAGGGUACCCAAGAGUUGGGGUGAACUGAAGGAGAUACACUAACGGUCUUAUGGUUUGACCUUUCUGGCCUACUUCAUAGGGUAGACCACUAUGGCCAGAAUAAUGAAGGAACAAAAUAUGUCUUACAAUGAUAGGAAGAGCGUGAUUAUUUUUAGGCCUACCCCCUCUACAUUUACAAUCCCACCCCCACACAUACAGAAAAGAAGGGGCCCUCAGAUAGUCAGUGGCCCAGCUCCUUCUAGUGGUCACGUCUGGU
RNAcentral lists this long non-coding RNA (3113 nucleotides) under Mus musculus (house mouse). RNAcentral's name for it is "long non-coding RNA chr2:121289729-121292842". The record is from RNAcentral. Lineage: Eukaryota; Metazoa; Chordata; Mammalia; Rodentia; Muridae.